AACGCACAUUGCGCUCUUUGGUAUUCCGGAGAGCAUGCCCGUUUCAGAAUCAGCAAAUCAUCCUCAGACGGUCUGGGUUUCCCGGCGACGGGACGCCCGCGACCUGCUGGACUUUGGACGCGCCGUUUCUUCCUUCCCGGAGGAGACUCGUCUCAAAAGCAUGGGAAACGCUGGGGUAGCCAUCCAAUGGACCUUGCAAAGCAGCAACAGUGACCUCUUUUGGUUUCUCUUUCACUCUUUGCCCGGAUCCAGGCAUCCCUGUAUUCAGUUACAAGGCACUUCCGCAUCGCCCUUUUGCUGGGGCAACCUGCAAAGAACUUGGUCUGAAAUCGGGCAAGAAAACCCGCUGAACUUAA
RNAcentral lists this unclassified non-coding RNA (356 nucleotides) under uncultured fungus. RNAcentral's name for it is "partial contains 5.8S ribosomal RNA, internal transcribed spacer 2, and large subunit ribosomal RNA". The record is from RNAcentral. Lineage: Eukaryota; Fungi.